RNAcentral lists this ribosomal RNA (497 nucleotides) under uncultured bacterium. Its description in RNAcentral is "partial 16S ribosomal RNA". It matches the Rfam family "Bacterial small subunit ribosomal RNA", at positions 28 to 507 of the family's 1533-position model. The record is from RNAcentral.
GAUGAACGCUGGCGGCGUGCCUAAUACAUGCAAGUCGAGCGGACGGACGCGAAGCUUGCUUCUCUGAUGUUAGCGGAGGGCGGGUGAGUAACACGUGGAUAACCUACCUAUAAUACUGGUAUCAUCUCGGGAAACCGGAUCUUAUACCGGAGAAUAUUUUGAACCGUAGGGUUCAAUAGUAAAAUACGGUGGUUCGGGCACGUAUAGAGGGAUCUCGGCUUGAUUAGCUAGUUGGGAAGGUAAAGGCUUACCAAGGCAACGAUGCAUGGACGAACUGAGAGAGUGAUAGGCCGCCUGGGAACUGAGCCACGGUCAAGACUCCUACGGGAGGCAGCAGAAGGGAACCGUCCGCAAUGGGGGAGAGCAUGACAGAGUAAGGCCGAGUGAGUGAUGGAAGUCUUCGGAGCGUAAAAAUCUGUUACUAGGGAAGAACAUCUGUGUAAGUAACUGUGCAGAUAUUGACGGUAACUAAUCAGAAAGCAACGGCUAACUACGUG